This is a long non-coding RNA of Lynx canadensis (Canada lynx), 2018 nucleotides long. RefSeq lists it as uncharacterized. The record is from RefSeq and is a predicted model, not a curated record. The transcript is spliced from 5 exons. NCBI's taxonomy places the organism in Eukaryota, Metazoa, Chordata, Mammalia, Carnivora, Felidae.
UUCUCGAGGCUCGUACUCAACCGCCGUCCAGUGCAUCCAGCGCGUGGGCAGAAGCUACGAAAGAGAUAUGUGAGCCCCAAACUGGAGAGUAGGAGGAACUCAAUGGGAUUCAGACUUCUUGUCAGAUUUUAGCUAGUGCCGAAAGGAGCAUGCCUUGACCAAUUCCUCCCUAACUGUCUCUGUGCUGCCUUGGGCUGUGGGAUGGAUAACAGAACUUUUGAAUCAUCACUGGAAUAAACUCGUUAGAGCCUCUUCUUCAUAACACCGUAUCUGUCACUCAGGUACAAAGUCAUAAAAAGUACUGGACACCUUGGAUUUCUUGGUCCCUGAGCCUUGGACUCUGCAAAGGAAAUGUUCCAGUCCUCUUUCCAAGAAAAGGGCCUGCUGGCCUGCUGCCCAUCCUCUGUCGUGCCUUGAGGGAAUCUGCAUCGUUUGCCCUUUUCCAGAGGAAUGAGGGAGCAGUGGCCGCCUGGCAGUCUGGGGGGCACCUGGACAGCCACCCACUGGAGGGAGACAUCCACCUACUGUUGACUCCCCCUGCCAGUUGUGACACCCACACGUGUCUACCAGCAACCUUUCUCUGCGACCUCACCACACAUGAAGGAAGUGGCCAGACCUGCUCCGUCACCUGCCUGUGCAUCUCUGUCCCACCUGAGAGCUUCCACAGGCCCCGGUGCCUUCUUCCUCUUCGACAUCUGUCUUGUGCUCAUCUCCUCCGAGAAGCCUUCCAUGACUAAUCCUACUCUCAGCUCCAACUCAUCCCUUGAAGAUUUAUACAAACUAGAUUUAGCACCUUCUCACAAUGCAGUAAAAGAGGACAGGAGAGCAGCGUGUCACAGAGACUUGCACAAAGGAGACUAAGGUCAUAUGCUGUGGAGACCCUUCUGAGAAGGAAAACCUCACUGGAUUUUGUAAGAGACUAUAUGAAUGACCAGAGCUGGACACACAAUUUCAGGGCCCAGUGCAAAAUGACAACAUAGGCCCCUUGUUCAAAAACUGAGAACUUCAAGAUGGCAACAGCAGAUUGUAAAACCAAGUGCAGGGCCCUUCUGAGUGUGGGGCAUGGGGCCCCGUGGGACUGUACAGGCCACAUGUCCGUGAAGCUGGCCCUGGAGGUGACCUCUGAAGAAGCAGUUUCAGAAGCGUGAUGGGGGCCAGAAUCCGAUAUUGGAUGAUAUCAUCUCUGGAGAUAAUUCACCACUGACUCAUUCUUGUGACGUCAACAGGGGCAUUUCUCAGACUCACACUUGUCCAAGAAAUCAGAUAAGACACAUUUUCUACACUUGGGCAGGAGAAGCAAGAAUUUUGUCUGUGGAUUGCUUGUUAGUUGCUUGUUAGGCACUCUGCCACUGAAUGCUUGGGUGUCCGUUUUGGGAUUGUGGCUGAAUGUGGAACAGCAGACAUUUGGAAUCCUACCUCACACUCUUGUUCUCUCACACUGGCCAGGAGUUUAGCUAAAUAAGGCACAAGAGUUGAGCAUGGCUGUUGAUAGAGCGAUCUUCUCAGACUAGGGAAGCUUCCAAGGAAGAGCAGGCCUGGCGUGCCCAGCACAGCAGCUGCGGGAGAAGCGGGCAGUGUGUGUAGAUAGGAGAGUCCAACUGGAGCAUUCAUGUGGUUAGUCGAGGGUGGCUAAGCGCAGUGCUCAGCGGAGAAGGAACUGAGAGGGAGGGGGAAGCACACAAGACGGCGCACAUUGUAGGCCGGGGGUUGACAAAGUUGGGGCAGAAAUUCUCUGCCACUCAUUCAUCCGUUCAGUGAGGAUUUCCUGUGUGCCUCAUGUUCCAAGAACUGUGCUCAUGGAAGGGGACACAGACCCUGCUCUUAAGGUGCUGGGACUUCAGCAGUGGUUAACCCAGCCUGCACGUCAGAACCACUUGGAGGUCUCUUACAAAUUAGUUGUGCUUGGGCUUCGCCAGGACCAAUUAAAUUCACAUUUCUGUGGCUAGGGUCUAGGCACUCAAAAACUCCCGAGGCAUUUCUGGGGUGCCUAGGUGGUUCCGAUGGUUAAGCAUCUAACU